RNAcentral lists this ribosomal RNA (251 nucleotides) under Clostridioides difficile. RNAcentral's name for it is "partial 16S ribosomal RNA". It matches the Rfam family "Bacterial small subunit ribosomal RNA", at positions 586 to 841 of the family's 1533-position model. Lineage: Bacteria; Bacillati; Bacillota; Clostridia; Peptostreptococcales; Peptostreptococcaceae. The record is from RNAcentral.
AGUCAGGAGUGAAAGGCUACGGCUCAACCGUAGUAAGCUCUUGAAACUGGGAGACUUGAGUGCAGGAGAGGAGAGUGGAAUUCCUAGUGUAGCGGUGAAAUGCGUAGAUAUUAGGAGGAACACCAGUGGCGAAGGCGGCUCUCUGGACUGUAACUGACGCUGAGGCACGAAAGCGUGGGGAGCAAACAGGAUUAGAUACCCUGGUAGUCCACGCUGUAAACGAUGAGUACUAGGUGUCGGGGGUUACCCCC